Molecule: ribosomal RNA, 292 nt
Filed under: uncultured bacterium
Lineage: Bacteria
Description: partial 16S ribosomal RNA
Rfam family: Archaeal small subunit ribosomal RNA
Source: RNAcentral
GUGCCAGCGCCGCGGUAAUACCGGCCGCCCGAGUGAUGGCCGAUAUUAUUGGGCCUAAAGCGUCCGUAGCUGGCCGACCAAGUCUCACGGGAAAUCCACCCGCCCAACGGGUGGGCGUCAGGUAGAAACUGGCCGGCUUGGAACCGGAAGGCUCAGAGAGUACGUCCGGGGUAGGAGUGAAAUCCCGUAAUCCCGGACGGACUACCGAUGGCGAAAGCACUCUGAGAAGACGGCUUCGACAGUGAGGGACGAAAGCUCGGGUCUCAAACCGGAUUAGAAACCCCAGUAGUCC